This 253-nucleotide ribosomal RNA is filed under the name uncultured bacterium. RNAcentral describes it as "partial 16S ribosomal RNA". It matches the Rfam family "Bacterial small subunit ribosomal RNA", at positions 524 to 776 of the family's 1533-position model. The record is from RNAcentral.
UACGUAGGGUGCGAGCGUUAAUCGGAAUUACUGGGCGUAAAGCGUGCGUAGGCGGUUCGUUAAGUUCGUUGUGAAAGCCCCGGGCUCAACCUGGGAAUGGCAAUGGAUACUGGCAGGCUCGAGUAUGGUAGAGGAAGGUGGAAUUCCCGGUGUAGCAGUGAAAUGCGUAGAGAUCGGGAGGAACACCAGUGGCGAAGGCGGCCUUCUGGACCAAUACUGACGCUCAUGCACGAAAGCGUGGGGAGCAAACAGG